RNAcentral lists this ribosomal RNA (253 nucleotides) under uncultured bacterium. RNAcentral describes it as "partial 16S ribosomal RNA". It matches the Rfam family "Bacterial small subunit ribosomal RNA", at positions 524 to 776 of the family's 1533-position model. The record is from RNAcentral.
UACGGAGGGGGCGAGUGUUGUUCGGAAUUACUGGGCGUAAAGGGCGCGCAGGCGGCAUGGCAAGUCGAGUGUGAAAUCCCUUGGCUUAACUGAGGAAUGGCGCUCGAAACUACCUCGCUAGAGGGCGGGAGAGGGAAGUGGAACUCUCGGUGUAGGGGUGAAAUCUGUAGAUAUCGAGAGGAACACCGGUGGCGAAGGCGGCUUCCUGGCCCGUACCUGACGCUGAGGCGCGAAAGCGUGGGGAGCAAACAGG